GGUACCAGUCCAUUAUUUGGAGGCCUUCAAGUCUCCCGCAUGAACCAGGUCCAGUCCGCUUAGUUUUAAGACUGGGCUCCAGUUAGCUUCCUCAAUCAAGCCGACCCAGUCCAUACGACCCAUUAAAUAGGUCCUAUCUGGGCUCAGCUUUAAUCCUAUCUUCAGGCCCAGCUCGGAAUCAGGAAGGGGAUCAACCCAUCUGUCUUGUGGGUCCAUCCGCAUGCACGCCCGGGGGGAAUCAGAGGCAGUUAUGCAUGGAGUAGGGAUCUGAUAUUCUCGUACGUCCGUAUCAACAUGGCAGGGACAGGUGGCCCAAUGACAGACAGUUUGUUAUACGUCACUAGCGGACAAAAGAAAACAGAUAAAAGGAGGAUUGCCCUCCUCUAGACCUAAGCUUUUUUCUAAGUUUACAGAACUCUUGUAAAACCCUAUUUUCUGGAUCUCAGAUCAUCAAUUGGCGCCGUCAAUGGGAAAAACGAAGGAGAUCUUUUCAUCGCCGGAGUUUCACUCUUAUAAUACCCACUGAGAUCCACGAUGGCUAACCACAACGAAAACAAUCUUGUCAACAUCCCUAAUGACCUGAGCUCCGCUCAGGAGGGACAACAGUUCUCUUUUUCCAGUCCCACAACCCCAAACAACCAAACACCAAUUCCCUUCAACCCUUCGCCAAGCUUGGCAGGGAACGUGCCUGGUCCUGCUCUAUCCAACCAGGACCUUCAAACCAUGGCCCUCCAACUACAAAAUACCGCUCACUGGCUGGGGCAGAUGAUGCAACAACGAGGCCUCAGUACCCCAAUAAAUGUGUUGUCGGUGGUAGAAGAGCCCCGGACCAAUGAACCUCAGCCUACCUUCAACCAUCUCCAAACCGUCAGCCGAGAAACCGGAGACGGAGGGAGAAGAGCCGGAGAAGAGGAAGAGCUGAAAGCUCGAGUUCAUGGAAGGAGGGUGAGGGAAAUGAUUCAGAAUGAUGAGGCCGACAGUUAUUCUGCCGGCAUAACCAAGCGAACGAGAAGCGAAGCGGAGGAAGAGGAGUACCGCCGGGAGAGGAAACCCAGGCAAGAGGAGGAGAGUGUAGACCGAAAGCUGCAAAAGAUGAGAAAACAGCUCUUGGCCGAGUUGGGAACGAAGGAUCAGAAUCAAACUUUCAUGCCCACCUCUUCACCCUUCUCGACAUGGGUGCAGCAGGAGAUCGUUCCCAAAAAACUUAUGAUGCCGCCUAUAGCCGCAUAUGACGGAGCUGGGAACUCCUGGGAGCACGUCUUGAACUACAAAACUUUCAUGGAACUGCAGACUUUAUCAGAUGCCUUGAUGUGCAAGGUGUUCCCAACAACGCUCUCGGGGCCAGCACGGGCAUGGUUUAACAGCCUUGAGACCGGAAGCAUCAGAAGCUUUGGAGAUCUGGCCACUCGCUUCAUCAGCCGGUUCAUUGCCGGGGUGCCUGUAGACAGAAAGACAAGUUAUCUGGAAACAGUCAGGCAGAGAAGGGAUGAAUCGCUCAGGGAAUACGUUGCUCGUUUCAAUACGGAGGCCUUGCAGAUUCCCGAACUAGAUGAGAGCAGAGCGGCGGAGGCAAUGCAGAAAGGGAUGACCUCGCCCGAGUUCUUCGGUUCAUUGAGCAGGAAGCCUCCCACCUCACUAGCGGAGCUAAUAAAGAGGGUAGAAAAGUACAUCAGGUAGGAUGAUGCCUUGGUGACGAGCAGGUUUGCCAGAGGAGCGGUAGAUAAGGGAAAAGCCUCGGAGGAGAGAAGGCCGGAAAGGCAGGAGAGAAGGCCGGAAAGGCAGGAGAAGAAGCAAGGCAGAAGAUCUGAAACCUACAGACAGCCCUGGGAGUGAAGGGACCAAAGACCUCCCCUUCUUAGGAUUCCUGAACAGAAAUCACUUCCGCCGUUGGUUCCAGAGAAGCCGACUCCACUCAAUGCCUCCAGAGCCGAAGUACUCAUGGCCGUCCAAGACAAGGAGUUCUUACAAUGGCCUAGACCUAUGAGAAUGGAAGCAGACCAGCGAGAUCCUGACAAAUACUGUCAGUAUCAUCGCACAUAUGGCCACGACACCAAUAACUGCUUCCAGUUGAUUACUGAGAUCGAGAGGCUGAUAAAGAGGGGACACCUCAAGAACUUUGUGAAGAAACCGGAGGGAUAAAGGCCUCAGCCGAACCCAGCAGCGCAAACACUUAGGAGAAUGGGAGCGGGGCCAGUGAAUGAUGGGUUCAGUGGGACCAUCAACAUGAUCGUUGGAGAAACAGGAGGUCGAAUGAGCCGGUGAAGCAGAAGAAAAGGGUGGAAGCAAGGGAAAAGUAACAGGCCACCAGGGAGGAGGUAUGAAAGCUAGAGGAGGCCGGGUUUAUUAGGGAAGUGAUGUAGCUACAAUGGUUAGCAAAUCCUGUAUUAGUCAAGAAAGCCAAUGGCAAAUAUAGGAUGUGUAUAGACUUCAUUGACCUAAAUCAAGCAUGUCCUAAGGAUUGUUACCCCCUCCCUGACAUUAAUAAAAUGGUCGACUCUACGGCCGGUUUUGAUUACAUGUCUUCUUUGGAUGAUAUGUUUGGUUAUCACCAAAUUCCAAUGGACAGGUCGGAUGAAGGAAAGACCUCGUUCAUAACAGAAGAUGGGACUUAUUGUUAUAAAGCCAUGCCCUUCGGGCUGAAGAACAUCGGGGCGACAUACCAAAGACGGAUGAACAAAUUCUUCAAAAGUCAGAUCGGCAGGAACGUAGAAGUUUAUGUAGAUGAUAUGGUGGUCAAAAGCCCAACUUUCCAACAGCACAUGGUAGAUCUAAGGGAGGCAUUCGAGGUGCUAGAACAGUACAGAAUGAGGUUGAACCCAGCAAAAUGUGCCUUCUUCAUCAAGGGAGGAAAAUUCCUGGGAUACAUGGUAAGUGAGAAAGGCAUUGAGCCCAAUCUUGAGAAACCUAGAAGCUACAGGAAAAAGAGCGGCAGUAGGCAAGUUGGCACCGAUCUAGGAGGGCCCAUUCAAAAUAGCAAAGGUGGUCAAGCCAGGGGUAUAUCGAAUUGAAGAUAUGCAGGGAAACCCUGAGCCCCAUGCCUGGAAUAUCCAACACUUGAAAAGGUACUUCCCCUGAGGUAUUAUCAAAUGUAAAAAACCUAUCAUAUUUUAAAGCAUGAUAAUAAAACAGACGUUGAUUACCUUCCCAAUUCAUUAUUUGUCUCUACUCACAUUGCUUUCAUGAAAUAAACAAAAAAGAAAAAAAAAUGAAACAGGUAUAAAUGCCCAAGGCCUCAGGGAGGUAGAAGACCGAGAUCCCCAAGAUCUCCCGGAGCUACAAGUAACCGAACUGAGACAUAGAGACCUCAGGGAGGUGGAAGACCGGGAUCCUCAAGAUCUCCCGGCACCAACAUAAACCAAACUGAGACAUAGAGACCUCAGGGAGGUAGAAGACCGGGAUCCCCAAGAUCUCCCGGAGCUACAAGUAACCGAACUGAGACAUAGAGACCUCAAGGAGGUAGAAGACCAGGAUCCCUAAGAUCUCCCGGCACCAACACCAACCGAACUGAGACAUAGAGACCUCAGGAAGGUAGAAGACCGAGAUCCCCAAGAUCUCCUGGAGGGAAAACGGCCGGAGAGAUUUCCAAGAUCUCCCGGAGCAAAAACGGCCAGUGAGAUCCCCAAGAUCUCCCGGAGCAAACAAAAACAGCGGCAUGCAAUGACAACACGCAAAAAUAACUCAUGAAAACACAGUAAUGGGCCCAGAAUCACCAAUGAAAGACCAGAUCCUGACCUCCCAAAGGAGCUCGGGACCUAAGAGGAAGAGACUCUGAUCUCGCAGCCAAAGGAGGAAAAGUGCCGCGUCGACCUCAAGAAGAUGCUAAAGCUGAAACAGAAGGACUAAAUCCGAACUCGGAUUACAGGCUGGAAAGCCGAUCUAAAACACACAAAUGUAAACUUGGAAAACCAAGCAAAAAGAGAGCUGAGCUCAGAAAGCCCAAAGGCAAACCAAAAGCAACAAAUCUCAUAUGAUCCAAGAGGAAAUUCAGUGGCAUGAGCUGAAGGCCUCAGCCUCAAUUCCUAUCAGAACAGAACUAAAAACAAAAGGCCAGCCCUGCUCAUCACCUUAAAAGGUACAUGAUUUGACUUAUUGUUAUUCUACAAAGGCUAUGUGCCCGAGACCAUAGUAAUAAAGUAAUAAGAGAAAAAUGAGGAUGUCCUUGCAGGAAUCAUGAAAACUCAUAAGUUGAGAGUUCAGCCCACUGUUAAAAACUAAGUUCACGGGUAAGGCUAGUCCAGCUCGAAAAAAGCUUACAGAUAAGAAUGCCUUAGUGAAAUGGAUAAAUUUAUAAGUCAAAAGUUCAGUCAAUUGAUAGAAUUUUAGUUCUGAUGAGCAUGAAGGUAAAAAGGAAAAAACAGUAUAGUGGAUUCCUUAGAGAAAUUACGAAGCACAUAGUUUAAGUGUUUCAUUCUUGACAAGUUAGAUUGUUCAACAGAAUAAGUAGCCCAAUGAAGCUGAAAAAGCAAACAAAGUAAAUGAAAAUGAAAUUUCAUUAAAAGAAAAGUACAUUACAGCCUAUUCUAAUUAUCUACACGGGAUGGAGGGAAAACUGUCCUUAAAGGACUUACACGCCUAGGGGAAUUAUCAUCUACCCUAGCAUCUACACUGUCUACACCUACACUGCUGCUCAUGGGAGGCCCAGCACCUUCCUGCUCAGACCCUCCAGUGCCUACGAAAGGCACGAUCUCCUGCCCCUGAGGACUAGCAUCUUCAUCUUCUAGCUCGGGUUCUGCCCCAGAAGACCCAACUGCGGUGUGAGAGGCCCCUUUGGGCAAGGGCCUGUCGUCCUCCCCGUAAAGCACCUCCUCACCAUCAGAGUCUACCUCUGCAGCUCAGAGUUUAGCUAACGGGGUGGAGGGAGUGUAUCUGGCUAUCCUUAAGCCCCGGUUGUAUCCAGAGAUGAACAUGCGGAAGCUUUUAUUCCAUACGGUUGCCUUCAUCUCGUCAGAAGCUUUAAACUCCACAAGUCGCUCCUCGCAGGCCUCAGCUACCUUGGCUUUAAAUUUAGAAGAACUCUUGUAAUCCUGGAGGCGAGCUUCACAGGCCUGCUCGAUCUCUUUUUUCAGCUCGGGGGACUCCUUAUACUCCAUCAAGCGCCUCUCACACUCCAGUUGAAUCCUGUCUUCAACAAGUCUAGCAUCCUCGAGCAGGGCUGAGCAUCUGUGCUCCAAAGUCUUGACCUCAUGACGGAGCGCUUGAUUGUGACGUUUAGACUCCUCUUUCGCUGAGGCCAGAUCUCUGAUACGGUCAGAACUCUUACUCAGCUCCUGCUCGAGAACCUCAACCCGAGCUAGUGCUCCCUCUAUCUGAAUCUUCACCUUGGCAAGAUGAGCCUGAGCUUCAUCGAAAUUAGCCUUCAGGGCCUCGUACUGACACCGGACCUCGUCCCUCUGGCUCACAGUGUAAUACCCGGCUAGAUUCCGGCAUCGGAAUCUCUACCUUCCGGCGGAAUCUCCGUUGGAAUUUGGAAUUUCGGCGAUGCCAGAGGCUUCUAGAGGGGUAAAAUGUGUUUUCUAAAAGGUUUUUACUGAUUUCAUGAUUUUAAAUGAAAAAGAAUUGAGUUUUGGAAAGAAAAGACCAAGGAGGCAAUUGCCAGGUUCGGCCGCCGAAAGUGAAGUUCGGCCGCCGAACAUGGAAAGGCUUCGGGAGCGCUUUUGGCCUCCGAAAGUCUUGUUUGAACGAGCCAAGGUUCGGCCGCCGAACCUCAAGUUCGGCCGCCGAACAUGCAUGAGUUUAGGGGGCACGUUAGGCUGCCGAAGAUCUUUGAUCAGGCCACCUAUAAAAGGCCCUCAGAUCGGAAAUGGGCGAGUUUUCUCCCCAUUCUCGAGCUCAGGUGAGUUUUUGUCCUCCUUUGGCCGUUUUCAUGCUUUUCUUCAUCUCCUUCAUGUUUUCAUGAGUUUCAUGGUCGUUUUGAAGAGUUUUCAAGCUUGGAUUAAGGUUUGGAGAGCUUGAAGACUUUAAGAGUUUGGGUUCUCCACACCUUAAGCUUUGGGUCGCACCAACCCUCGAUCUUCAAGAGGUAAGUGUAGAUCUUUGCUUUCCUAGUGUCUUUUGAAGUUUUAUGAAGGUUUUAAUGGUUGAGUAUGGGUAGAUAUGCAUGUUUAGGUUUAUGUGGGUUUUAUGCCCAAUGUAUGUUAUAUGAUGCUCAUGUAUGUUUAUAUGAUGUUAUGUUGAAUGUUUAGGCUAGGUUAUGCAUGAGGGAGAGUGUAUGCAUGAGUGGGAAAGAGCAAGUGAGAUUAUGGGUUGUUUUGAUGGUUUUGGCCUAUGUGGGUCAUAAGCUAUCUAUGUAUGUUUUGAUGUGUGUUUUGGAGUUUAAUCAAGCUAUUAAGCUCCUUUGUGCAUGGUUAAGGGUUUAUGCAUGUUUUGGUUAGGUUGGGUGCUUGUUUUGGGGUGUUUGAAAGGUUUGGGAGGUUUGAAUGCAUGAGAAGCUGAGUUCUGCCCUUCUGGGAAGAACUCAGGUUCGGCCGCCGAAAGUGGCUUCGGCCGCCGAACCUGUCUUUGGAUGCAUGGUUUGGCCGCCUAACCUUGCCCCCGAAAGUUGAGUUUUGGCUUGAAAGCAGACUUUCGACCGCCGAAGGGAGGAUUCGGCUGCCGAAAGUGCCUGACUUUCGUCUCUGGAGUGGGACUUUCGGUCGCCGAAGGUGCCCGAGUUUCGUCUCUGGAGGAAGAGUUCGGCCGCCGAAAGUGCCCUGUCCAGCCUUUUCAAGGUUGUUUUCUAUGCAUGUUUAUGUGAUGUUCUAGGGGGUUUUUGGGCAGUUGCUUAUGAGUUGUUAGAGUGUGUUUGGCACCUCAUUCGAGUCCACCUGUGUAGGAUCGAACCCGAGGGAUCGAGGAGGCCAUCAGUAUUAGCAGUUGCAGAGUCAGUCCAGCGUCUGCCAGAGGUGAGUAGAACUAACUAUGCAUGUUUUAAAUUAAUGUUUAAAGGUAAUGAUUGUAUGAGCAUAAUACACGCAUCAUGAAUGCCAUGUGAUACCAGGUUGCUUUACAUUAGAGACACGAAUAUGUUGCAUUGCAUUAUUUAUUGUCAGUGGGGAUUGGACCAAGGUGACAUCAAUAGCCCACGAUCUGUCAUGGCAGUGAAAGUCCUGUGUGAGUUCCUUCGGGAAUCGGGCGCCGACAGAGGGAGUUCUGAGGUCAUGUCUAAUCCGAGAUGUGAAAUGUUUGUACUGUGACACAUAUCAUGAAAGCAUGAAAUGAAUGAAUGAACUGUUUUAUGAUUUCUACUCACUGGGCUCUAGUAGCUCAUCCCAUUUCCCUUAACCCCAGUUUUGCAGGGCCAGAGAUAAGGUUAAGCCAGAGUAAGUCAGAGUAAGCUAUGGGGAAAGAAGAGUGAAGCAUGGGUUGCUGUGUUUUGAUGUAAUAGUAUAGCUUAGUGUAUGUAUAUGGUAAGUAGCUGGAUAUAAAGAGAUGUAUGUCUGUAUGCUUGUAUACUUGAGUAGUAUAGUAGUGGACAUGAUGUAUAUAAAGGAUACGAUAUGAUAAUGUAUGGAAAGUUGGAGGAUUAGAGGUAUAGUAUGUCAUGUGCUGUUUAGAGUUGUGCUUGACCCUAGAGUUGGUUGAUCCCUUGGUUUACAUGAUCUUAAGAAAAUGUUUUGAUGUUAAAAAGGUUAAAGGUUUUAAUGAUGUGAAAUGUUUUAAUGUUAUGAGAUUUGAAUGGCCCGUGAGGGAAGAAAGGGUUUCAAUCCCUUGACCCAAAAGCGGACAUGGUUUUAAAGCAUGCUUGAUGACCCAUCUGGUAUGAGGUUCUAUGUUUCCAUGCAUAGGUCAAGCUGAGGUAAGGAAAGCAAGUUUAAAGGUUUUUCUGAGACACAAGCUUAAUUUUCAAGAAAAGUUUGAUCAUGUAUGGGAUUAUACCAGAGGUUUGCCAUGUCUAGUGGCUUGCUACGGGUCCUGGCGGCCUUAAGCCGAUCUGGAUCCUAGCGCCGGUGGCGGUCCGGAGAUGCGGGCUGUUACACACAGCCUCGUCCUUUUCGCGAAGGGUCUUCACCAUGGAGGACAACUGCUUUAAGACUUCUUCACAGCGGACCUCAGCUGCAGCUGCCCUCUCGUCAGAUUCUUUGAGAACCCUCCAGGCAUGAGACAACUCCACUUUCAGGGACUUGUCAUGCUCAUGGGCCGCGGCUAGAUUGCUCCGGGCAUCGCUAGUUGCCGACAAGUUCUCCUCAAGAUGCGCCUCCUCAAUACAGCAGUCCAUGGAGUCCCUGAGAGCACGAUCCCGGGCAUCCAUCUCCAUAAAAAUGCCUGUUGUCUGGCCAAAGAGAAGAACAAAUAUAAUCAGAAAGAGAACAUGGGUAGAAAUCAAUUAAAACAAAAAAGAAAUGAGGGCGGAAUACCAUCAAGAGCAGCUCCCAGGCAGUGUCCCCAAGCCGAUCUGUGGACUGAGCCCGGAAGGCCACCUGUUCUCGAGUAGAGCUGGCCAAGAGGCCAGAGAGAGCCAGUAGGCGAGGAUCUGAAGCCUCCGCAACUCCACCAAACAUUCGCUCUCGAAUUAUCUCUGUGACCACGCUCGCGGGUGAUUGAUGGGUGAUGUCCUCUGCGUUAAGAAUGUCAUUAUCAGGGGUAGAGAGCAGAGGCACCACCGAGGUCUUCUUCUUCUCGAGCGGAGGCAGAGCUGGGGCAACAUGUCUGGAGGCCCGAGGUCUCUUUGGAACUGGGGCAGGAGCGUCAGAGAGAGAAGGACGCUUGCUCCUAGCCCCCUUUGCCAUGCCCUCCGAGGCAACCAACGACUUCCUCUAAGGGAGAACUUCAUCCGCAGGCUCAGACUCAGCCCUCUCGAUGACAGGAGGGCCCUCAGCAGCAACUUCUUGAUCAUCCUCGUCCACAAGGACAACCUCUACUUCUCCUUUCGGAGCCCUCUCUUCAAUAACGGAGACCUCCAACCUCACCUCGGGAACCUCUUCUUCAGCGAAGGGGGCCUCAAGCCUCACUUCUGGAGCUUCCUCAGAAGGAAAGGCAGGAUCCGACCUCGCCGGCCUAGUGUCUUCUGCCAGCUCAGAAAUGAUCCUGGGAGCCUCUUCCGUCCCCUCCUUAGAGGCACGUCGAGGCCGGGGGGCUUGAGAGGACUGAUGAGCCGAGCUCGAUCUGCUGUGGUGGGAGGGUCGAGACGACCUGCUACGGACCUAGGAGUUUGUGAGGAGACCGGAGGAGGAGGAGGAGGCCGGAUAGCCGACCUGGAAGAUAUAACUUCGGCCACCCUUUGAGCAGCCUCUCCCACUGAUUGCCCGGCCAGGAGGGCGUCCAGAGCUGUGUCCAUGCUCUCCCGGGACAGUAUGAGAUUCUUAGGAGGCUUGAUGUAAUACCCGGCUAGAUUCCGGCAUCGGAAUCCCUAACUUCCGGCGGAGUUUCCGUUGGAAUCUAGAAUUCUGAAGAUGUCAGAGUCUUCUAGAGGGGUAAAUGUGUUUUCUAAAAUGUGUUUUAAGUGUUUUAAUGGUUUUGACUGCAAAGGAUUUGAGUUUGAAGAGAAAAGACCAAGGGGACAUUUGCAAGGUUCGGCCGCCGAAGGUAAAGUUUGGCCGCCGAACAUUGCGUGGUUUCGCCCGCCGAAGGUGAAGUUCGGUCGCCGAACGUUGCAUGGUUUUGCAUGCAGCUUUGGCAGCCGAAGAAAAGGCGGUUGGCCACCUAUAAAAGCCCCGUUGACCGGAAAUGGAGUGUAUUUCACUCUCUUUUCGUGCAAAGGGUAGGCUCAUGCUCUCCUUUGGUUGUUUUCAUGAUGUUUCUUCAAAUCUUUCAAAGUUUUCAUGGGUUUUCUCUUUGUUUUGAAGAGUUGUGAGCUUUGAGCAAGGUUUUGAAGUUUGAAGACUUUGGAGCUUGGAUUCUCCAUAUCUUCAAGUUUGAGGUUGCACCAACUCUUGUUCUUCAAGAGGUAAGUGUAGAUCCUUAGCUUUUAUGAGGUUUUAAAUGAGUUUUAUGAAGGGUUAAGAGGGUUUUAUGCAUGAGUUGCAUGGUAUGCAUGUUUAGGGUUUGGAUACCCUUUUGUGACAAAAGUGUGUUCUUGCAUGAUAUGUGAUGUUUUGUUGGGGGUUUAGGCUAGUUUGAGACCCCUAUAUGCUUGUUGUGUGAGUUAUGCAUGUUUUGGAGAGGUUUAAGGUAUGUUUUGGGUGUUGAAAGGUUUGAGAGGCUUGUAUGCAUGAGAGGCUGAGUUCUGGAUGAACUCAGGUUCGGCCGCCGAAGGUGGUUUCGGCCGCCGAAGGUGGUUUCGGCCGCCGAACAUACCUUUGCAUGCUUGGUUUGGCCGCCUAAUCUUGCCCCCGAAAAUGGACUUUCGGCUCUGGAAGGGACUUUCGGCCGCCGAAGGUGCCGCCGAAAGUACCCGAGUUUCAUCUCUGGAGAGGGGGUUCGGCCGCCGAAUGUGCCGCUGAAGGUGCCCUGUCCAGCUUUUCUUGGCAUGUUUUGCAUGCAUGUUUUGAGGAGUUUUAGAGGGGUUUUUAGGGAGAUGUGUAGUAUUAUGUUAGAGUUGUUUGGUCCCUCAUUUGAGUCCACCUGUGUAGGACCGGACCUGGAGAACCGAGAAGGUCAGCAGAGUUAGUUGGUCCUGAGUUAGCCCAGCAGUUGCUAAAGGUGAGUGGAACUAAACUUAAUAUUUUAAAUUGAGAAAUUAAAUACUUUUAGAGCAUGAUCCAUGCAUCAUAAAAUGCCAUGAUAUGUAUUAGGUUGUCUUGCAUUAGAAGCCACGAAUAUGAUGCAUUGCAUAAAAUGUUGUUGAUGUGGAUGGAUAUUGGAUGAUCCUUAGCUCUUGAUAUGAGAUGAGAUGACAUGAUAUGAGAUAGAAAGACCAGGUCGCCCCUGGCACUAUGUUAUAUGUAUAUGUAAGAGAAGACCAGGUGAGGCCGUAUCGCCCCUGGCGUAGUCGGACAUAUUAUGAUAUGAGUUAUAUAAGAGAAGACCAGUUGAGGCCGUAUCGCCCCUGACGUAGUUGGACAUAUUACGAUAGGUAGAGGGCUAUUGGUGACAAUAUCAUCCUUGAUGUGAUAUGUUUGUGAUGUGAUGCAUUCCAUGAGAGCAUAUGUUUUAAACAAAUUUGUAAUACUAUUCUGCUCACUGGGCUUUAGUAGCUCAUCCCUCUCCCAAAUUUCCAGUUUUGUAGGGCCAGUCAGAGUUAGCACGGGAUAGCAGCUAGGAUGAAGUGUAUGUAACAGUUAGUAGUGGACAUGAUGUAAUCCAAGUGAUGUAAUGUAAAUGAUGUAUAGAUUUGUAAUGUCAUGUAAUGGCUAGAGAUGUGCUUUGCCCUGGUGUGUGAUUAAUCCCUUUGUACAUAGAUCCUGUUUUACGUUUCUUGAUGAGAAAUGUGUUGAACUAAGCCUGAUGUAUGUUAUGCUGACCCUAUGGGUUCUAUGUGUUAGACAUAGUGCAUGCAGGUCAAGCUUGGUAAAUGGAAGGAAAAGUUUUUCAGUUUUUAUAGUUAUGUUUGAUCAUGUAUGGGAUUUAUCAGGUACACAGAGUUCAGGAUAGGCUUGCUACGGGUCUUAGCGGCCUUAAGCCGAUCUGAAUCCUAGCGCCGGUAGCGGUCCGGUUUCCGGAUCGUUACACUUGAUCUUAUCCAUCUUCACCUCGGAGGCUACAAAAUUAAAAAUCAGAGCAAGUCAGAAUAGUUCUCAGCAAAGAUUACGUAAGCAAGAACUAAAGCAGGCAAAUGGGAUAGGAUACCCGCGUCCUUAAUAUCCUGAAGAUUGGACGCAAACAAGCACUUUUUGACGUCAUACUCCUUCUCCACAGAAGUCAGUCGAAGAAAUCCGACCUGGUCGGUAAGGCUCAGUUGGGGCAGGUCGUUGCAACCCAGAGAGACAUCCUCCCAGGGGAGAUAGAGCUCCCAGGCCAACCCUGUUUGCUUCUUUAAUUCUACCACCAGAAACCCCUCUACCUAGCCUUUGAUUGAGUCUUUAUAACCCGUGAAAAUGGACAACCCUCCGUGAGGGGCAAAGUAGUAAAAUUUUUGGCUCGCCUUGACCAGCCUGAAGAAGCUAACUAAUAGAUGAACUGUGGGCGUGAACCCCCAGCUCAGACACACAGAUUCGAAGGAAGACAUGAAAAGAAUAGAGUUAGGGGUUAGCAUUCGAGGGGUGAUCUCGAAAUACCGGAAGACCUUGUUAAAGAACGGAGAAAAGGGGAAAGAUAAACCAUAUUCCCUCUGCUUGAUGAAGAAGACUAGACUAACGUCUCUUUGGGGGUCGACUAGACCAGGAGGAGAAGGAUCAGGAAGAAUGAUCCUCUCAUUCCGGUAAGGAGCCCGGAUGUGAAAAAGAGUGGUAUCCAGGUAUUCCCUGGAGAUGAAACUCCUAAUGUUGGACGGGGUGAUGCUAGACUCUAGGUUGACGACAUCGGGGAGGCUAGAGCUAUCCAUGGCAAAAGAAGAGGCGUACCUGGAGAAUAAAGACAGGAAGGCAAAGGUAGCAAUGUACUCGGGGAACAAAGGAAUGCAAGAACUUGGAGAAGACAGAGGAAAUUUGAAAUCUAAAAUGACAAUAAGGUGAAAGGGUGUUCUGAGGCAAAUCGUACUUAGACGGCGCGGUCAUAAUAAUUCUCGGUAUUUACCCCCUCGCCAGUCGGGUAAUAACUAGCGAGAAGGUAAAGGGGCAAUUGAUGACCGCUGGAUUUCUUCACCCCGGCCUGGGGCCAGGCCCAUGGUACCAGCCCAUUAUUUGGAGGCCUUUAAGUCUCCCGCAUAAAUCAGGUCCGGUCCGCUCAGCUUUAAGACCGGGCUCCAGUUAGCUUCCUCAAUCAGGCCGACUCAGUCCAUACGGCCCAUUAAACAGGUCCUAUCUGGGCUCAGCUUUAAUCUUAUCUUCAGGCUCAGCUCCGAAUCAGGAAGGGGAUCAAUCCAUCUGUCUUGUGGGUCCAUCCGCAUGCACGUCCGGGGGGAAUCAGAGGCCGUUAUGCAUGGGGUAGGGAUCUGAUAUUCUCG
This 12898-nucleotide long non-coding RNA is filed under the name Manihot esculenta (cassava). RNAcentral's name for it is "long non-coding RNA (MESC_LNC002868)". The record is from RNAcentral. Lineage: Eukaryota; Viridiplantae; Streptophyta; Magnoliopsida; Malpighiales; Euphorbiaceae.